RNAcentral lists this ribosomal RNA (446 nucleotides) under soil bacterium 03G-12. Its description in RNAcentral is "bacterial SSU rRNA". It matches the Rfam family "Bacterial small subunit ribosomal RNA", at positions 24 to 483 of the family's 1533-position model. The record is from RNAcentral.
UCAGGAUGAACGCUGGCGGCGUGCUUAACACAUGCAAGUCGAACGAUGAUCCCAGCUUGCUGGGGGAUUAGUGGCGAACGGGUGAGUAACACGUGAGUAACCUGCCCUUAACUCUGGGAUAAGCCUGGGAAACUGGGUCUAAUACCGGAUAUGACUCCUCAUCGCAUGGUGGGGGGUGGAAAGCUUUAUUGUGGUUUUGGAUGGACUCGCGGCCUAUCAGCUUGUUGGUGAGGUAAUGGCUCACCAAGGCGACGACGGGUAGCCGGCCUGAGAGGGUGACCGGCCACACUGGGACUGAGACACGGCCCAGACUCCUACGGGAGGCAGCAGUGGGGAAUAUUGCACAAUGGGCGAAAGCCUGAUGCAGCGACGCCGCGUGAGGGAUGACGGCCUUCGGGUUGUAAACCUCUUUCAGUAGGGAAGAAGCGAAAGUGACGGUACCUGCA